GUGAAUAUAGUUUACUUAAAACCCUAGAUUGUGAAUCUAGUAACAGAAACUCAAACAUUUCUUAUUCACC
This 70-nucleotide transfer RNA is filed under the name Chlamyphorus truncatus (Pink fairy armadillo). RNAcentral describes it as "tRNA-His". It matches the Rfam family "tRNA". Rfam says of the family: Transfer RNA (tRNA) molecules are approximately 80 nucleotides in length. Their secondary structure includes four short double-helical elements and three loops (D, anti-codon, and T loops). Lineage: Eukaryota; Metazoa; Chordata; Mammalia; Cingulata; Chlamyphoridae. The record is from RNAcentral.